GCGGACAGAUGGGAGCUUGCUCCCUGAUGUUAGCGGCGGACGGGUGAGUAACACGUGGGUAACCUGCCUGUAAGACUGGGAUAACUCCGGGAAACCGGGGCUAAUACCGGAUGCUUGUUUGAACCGCAUGGUUCAAACAUAAAAGGUGGCUUCGGCUACCACUUACAGAUGGACCCGCGGCGCAUUAGCUAGUUGGUGAGGUAACGGCUCACCAAGGCAACGAUGCGUAGCCGACCUGAGAGGGUGAUCGGCCACACUGGGACUGAGACACGGCCCAGACUCCUACGGGAGGCAGCAGUAGGGAAUCUUCCGCAAUGGACGAAAGUCUGACGGAGCAACGCCGCGUGAGUGAUGAAGGUUUUCGGAUCGUAAAGCUCUGUUGUUAGGGAAGAACAAGUACCGUUCGAAUAGGGCGGUACCUUGACGGUACCUAACCAGAAAGCCACGGCUAACUACGUGCCAGCAGCCGCGGUAAUACGUAGGUGGCAAGCGUUGUCCGGAAUUAUUGGGCGUAAAGGGCUCGCAGGCGGUUCCUUAAGUCUGAUGUGAAAGCCCCCGGCUCAACCGGGGAGGGUCAUUGGAAACUGGGGAACUUGAGUGCAGAAGAGGAGAGUGGAAUUCCACGUGUAGCGGUGAAAUGCGUAGAGAUGUGGAGGAACACCAGUGGCGAAGGCGACUCUCUGGUCUGUAACUGACGCUGAGGAGCGAAAGCGUGGGGAGCGAACAGGAUUAGAUACCCUGGUAGUCCACGCCGUAAACGAUGAGUGCUAAGUGUUAGGGG
This 781-nucleotide ribosomal RNA is filed under the name Bacillus mojavensis. RNAcentral describes it as "bacterial SSU rRNA". It matches the Rfam family "Bacterial small subunit ribosomal RNA", at positions 66 to 829 of the family's 1533-position model. Lineage: Bacteria; Bacillati; Bacillota; Bacilli; Caryophanales; Bacillaceae. The record is from RNAcentral.